AAGACCUUGCGCUUUUGGAGCGGCCGAUGCCUGAUUAGCUUGUUGGUAAGGUAAAAGCUUACCAAGGCUUCGAUCAGUAGCUGGUCUGAGAGGACGGCCAGCCACACUGGGACUGAGACACGGCCCAGACUCCUACGGGAGGCAGCAGUGGGGAAUUUUGGACAAUGGGGGUAACCCUGAUCCAGCCAUGCCGCGUGAGUGAAGAAGGCCUUCGGGUUGUAAAGCUCUUUCAGCCGGAACGAAACGGUUACGGUUAAUACCCGUGAUUACUGACGGUACCGGAAGAAGAAGCACCGGCUAACUACGUGCCAGCAGCCGCGGUAAUACGUAGGGUGCGAGCGUUAAUCGGAAUUACUGGGCGUAAAGCGUGCGCAGGUGGUUUUGUAAGUCAGAUGUGAAAGCCCCGGGCUCAACCUGGGAACU
RNAcentral lists this ribosomal RNA (423 nucleotides) under uncultured bacterium. RNAcentral describes it as "bacterial SSU rRNA". It matches the Rfam family "Bacterial small subunit ribosomal RNA", at positions 207 to 622 of the family's 1533-position model. The record is from RNAcentral.